Molecule: long non-coding RNA, 3917 nt
Filed under: Mus musculus (house mouse)
Lineage: Eukaryota; Metazoa; Chordata; Mammalia; Rodentia; Muridae
Description: long non-coding RNA chr13:78315482-78319399
Source: RNAcentral
GUAUUCUGUUGCUAAUGCUCGCAUCUAUAGUUCCAGAUUUCUUUCCUAGGGUUUCCAUCUCCAAAGUUGCCUCACUUUGGGUUUUCUUUAUUGUGUCUACUUCCCUUUUUAGGUCUAGUAUGGUUUUGUUCAUUUCCAUCACCUGUUUGGAUGUGUUUUCCUGUUUUUCUUUAAGGACUUGUAACUCUUUAGCAGUGUUCUUCUUUAUUUCUUUAAGUGAGUUAUUAAAGUCCUUCUUGAUGUCCUCUACCAUCAUCAUGGGAUAUGCUUUUAAAUCCGGGUCUAGCUUUUCAGGUGUGUUGGGGUGCCCAGGACUGGAUCAGGUGGGAGUGCUGCGUUCUGAUGAUGGUGAGUGGUCUUGGUUUCUGUUAGUAAGAUUCUUAUGUUUGCCUUUCGCCAUCUGGUAAUCUCUGGAGUUAGUUGAUAUAGUUGUCUUUGGUUAGAGCUUGUUCCUCUCGUAAUUCUGUUAGCCUUUAUCAGCAGACCUGGGAGGCUAGCUCUCUCCUGAGUUUCAGUGGUCAGAGCACUCUCUGCAGGCCAGCUCUCCUCUUAAAGGGAAUGUGUACAGAUAUCUGGUGUUUGGACUUCCCUCCUAGCAGAACAUGAAGGCCGAAACAGGACCUGUCCCAGGACCUGUGUUGCUUCGGCCUGUCACAGAAGCUGUUAGCUUCUGUAGUCCACACUCUCACCUGCACAGACUAGUCUUGGAGGAAUCCGGGAACCAAGAUGGCUCCCCCAGGUCCUCUGGGAAAGCCCUCCCAGGCAGGUCAGACACCUCUCCUCUGGCCAGGAAAGUGCCCGGAUGUCUGGAGCCCGAAAGGAGUCUGCCUCAGAAGCUGUCUUCUAGAGACCUUGGGGGUGUCUGCCAACUCUGUGCCCAAGGUGACCAGGUGCUGGCGCAGACCGAAGGUACUUGUCACCCAGGUGAGGCCAGGUUUUCUGCUUCCCUAAUGCUGUCUUAGGUCCCGCGAGAUUGGAUUGGAACAGAAGUUGUGUCUACUCACCAGAGGUCCUGAGAUCUUGUGGAGAGUCCUCUAGGGAUCUUGGGCAUGUCAGCCGACUCCGCGCCCAAGGUGAUCUGGUGCUGGCACUGACCAGAAGGGAUUUGUGACCCUGGUCAGGCCGGGGUUUUCUGCUUCCCUAAUGCUGUCACAGGUCCCACGUGAUUGGAUUGGAACAGAAUUCCAAUUAAAGUUUUAACAUCCCAUUAUGACGCUGUUGUAGUGCUAAUAGAGAAUUGUAAGAUAAAAUCAUGAAGGUAUUUUAGAAAAACAAAACAAAACAAUGUGUCUUAGAAACCCUACAAGGUAUCUGUUCCUUGUUCUGAACAGUAAUUAAAUUGGUUUUUGCAGAAUAUUGAUAUUUGUACUAUUGCAUAUCAAACUCUUUAGGUAAAAUUGACAAUCAUUAUCCAAAAGAUAAGUUGUUAAAGAUUGCUUCUAUGCAUGUUUUUGGAUUUUCUGUAAAUUAAUGCAUUCAUGCAUCCCAUAAAAAAUACAUCUAUUGUAUUCAAAAAGUAGCCCUUCUAUGGGAGAGAAGUAUAUGUGAUUGGAUCACAUGUUUAUUCCUUUGAGUUUCCUCCGGCUUCAGCACAGAUGAUUAAAGUGUGUGCUGCAGCCAUGUUUUGAAAUGUUAAAAAAUCAAGCUUUAAUUUGUAUACUAAUAGUCAAUAUAUAUAUAGCUCAGGGUUUACAAUUGGUUGAAAUUGUUUGUUUCUUAAAUACUAUGAAUUCUUAACUUUGUAAUUUUUUAUAUACAACUCAAGUGGAAAAAAAAAGACUGUCUUUGGACAUUUAAGAACUCAUUCUAGAUUGUCUGGGAAAGACCUCUUAAGGUGAUACCAUGCUAGAUUUAUAUCCUAGGCAGAUUACAGGCCUUACACAAGAAUAAUUGGCCACAUAAUCUCAUUCUUUACAUCAUCAAAAAUAGUAAUGGCUUGAGAUAAUAAUUUGGUAUUUUUAAAGAAUGUGCAUAUCAAAUUGUAAAGACUGUUCUCAGUGUCCUCAGUUUCUACCUGUUCCACAUAAUGGUGUUAACUCUUGAGGUCUUAUAUUUAAUCAGUUAUUGCCAAUGACCACUCAUAUUUCUGAUUUAAAAAAAUAAAAUAUGUACAUGUGACUAUUGAUACCUUUUCAGGCUUUCUAGUCGCAACUGCUCUAACAAGAGAAGCAACUAAACGUGUAAUUAGUCAUUGCCUACAUAUAUAUAUAUAUAUAUAUAUAUAUAUAUAUAUAUAUAUAUAUUUGGUGUUCCAAAUCAGAUUACAACAGAUAUUGCAACUGGCUAUUACAGCCAAGUUUUUGAGAUGUUUUGUUGACAAUUUAAUGCUACCCAUGUUACUGAGAUUUUUUUUUUUUAUAUUUCUCAAGGACAAGGUAUAGUGCAACUUUAAAACUAUAUCUUCUGAAAAAACAAUAAAGGGGAAAUUAUAUCCCUGUGUACAUUAUUUAUAUCACACUUUUUAUUUUUAAAAUUUUAAAAAUUGGAUGCCAAAGAACUCCUUGCUGAAUGUCUUAUAGCAUCUUAAAACUAGGCAUACUCAUGCCUGGGUGAGAUGGAAGGAUCCACUUAUUGGCAUAUAUCAUGAGCCUGAUCAGAUAUUUAAUAUGGGGAAGAGGGCAUGUUUGUGUUUUUUCCACAGAAUGCUGCAGGAGCAUGCCAGCUGCCAGAAUGAUUUGUGUGACAGGCUGACCUGUGAGCUUGCUGAGUGCUCUGACAAUGGUGACAAGAAAGCUAUAUUGGGUAUAUGUUCUUGACCCACCUUUGCUUGCCUUUGUCCUAGAUUAGACAAGCUAAGCUGCCUUGCUUCAAGCUUUUUAACCUUGUGGGACAGAGAACAUAAGAGACUGUGGAAACUGAUUUAGAAGAAUUAAUCAAAAGGAGGAUUUAUAAUGACUCUUCUAUUUCCUUUAAUGUGACCAGUUAUUCUGACUCAAUCAUGGACUGGUCUAGUAAUAAAUCCAAUAGUAGAGAUUCCUGUUAUGAAGAUAGCUAAAAAUAUUUAUUAGUUAGCAGAGUUAGCUUGAAGCAUAGCCUAUUUAUAUGAGAAAUAACAGCUUUUCUGUUGAUUCUCUAAGUCACCUCUCCCACACAGGGAGGUCAGAGCUUGGGCUUGAUCGUUGCUAAUUUGCAACUGAAUAGAGUACCUAGACUUCCCCACAGACAACUUUAAUCUUGUUGCUUUUCAACUUUUGGCUUUGUGUUUCAAGAAGGUCAGUUACCUCUGUGCAGGCUUGCUUUCAUCAAGCACAGAUGGCAGAAAUUCAUCGAUAUGAAGAGAUGGAUUGAGUGCACAUAGUGGCUUUGGUCUGAUUGGGAAAAUGGUGUGUAAUGAGGGCUGGCAGCCAAGGCCAGGCCAUUGGGUUUAUGGCUUAUUUUCAAUCUAAGACAGAGGCAUGCACCAAGAGGCUGUGGUUUGUUCAUAAUAACACCAUAGAGCAGUGUUUGUGCAAAUAAACCGAAACAAACUGCACAUGUUCUCCAUGACGGAUAAGAAUAAGUCAAAUGAGACUGCAGUCCUAAGACAGGCGCAGCCACCAGCCACCAUAAUUUCCAGGCAGAACCAUGGAGCAUUUGUAAGUUUUAUGCCCCAGUCUAGCUAAUUUUUAUUAAAUAAUUAGGGAGGAAUUGUAGCCUCUCCAGCCUUGAGCAGGCUGUCUCAAACCUGUUCUGCCACUGUCACCACCUAGGGUGGAGUCUUCUAACCUAGAGAGGUCUACUCUGCCACCUCUGCAGUUUUCUCCAAGACACCACUACCUGCUAAGAGGCUGAACCUGCUUCCUGAGGAGAUCCUGAAGAAGCAACAUCCUGGCACAGAGUGAUGAGAGCUUGGAGACAAAGCAACAGGAGCAUGACAUUGUUGGGGAUGGGCCUUCCCCUUUAUAAGCUCAGACCUUUAAGUAAACUUUGGGCUUUGA